RNAcentral lists this ribosomal RNA (481 nucleotides) under uncultured bacterium. RNAcentral's name for it is "bacterial SSU rRNA". It matches the Rfam family "Bacterial small subunit ribosomal RNA", at positions 903 to 1397 of the family's 1533-position model. The record is from RNAcentral.
AAAUGAAUAGACGGGGACCCACACAAGCGGUGGAACAUGGGGUUUAAUUCGAUGGUAAACGAAGAACCUCACCCAGGCUUGACAUGUCAGGAAUACAGUUGAAAGAUUGUAGUGCCGCAAGGAACCUGAACACAGGCGCUGCACGGUUGUCGUCAGCUCGUGCCUUGAGGUGUACUGUUAAGUCAGCGAACGAGCGCAACCCUCAUCCUAUGUUGUUUUUUCAUGGGAGACUGCCGCCUCCAAGGCGGAGGAAGGUGGGGAUGACGUCAAAUCAGCGUGGCCUUUAUGCCUGGGGCAACACCCAUGUUACAAUGGUAGAUACAAAGGGUAGCCAACCCGCAAGGGGGAGCUAAUCCCAUCAAAAUCUAUCUCAGUUCGGAUUGUCGGCUGCAACUCGCCGGCAUGAAGUUGGAAUCGCUAGUAACCGUAGGUCAGCGAUACUACGGUGAAUAUGUUCCUGGGUCUUGUACACACCGCCCGU